GCAGUCGAACGAGGUACUUUUGUAGUAAUACGAAAGUGUCCUAGUGGCGAACGGGUGAGUAACGCGUUGGUGACCUACCCCAAAGUGUGGGAUAACAGUUCGAAAGGAUUGCUAAUACCGCAUGUGGUCUUCGGAUUUAGAAACUGAUGACUAAAGGAGUAAUCCGCUUUGGGAGGGACCUGCGUCCCAUCAGCUAGUUGGUGAGGUAAUGGCUCACCAAGGCUACGACGGGUAGGGGACCUGAGAGGGUGACCCCCCACAAUGGAACUGAAACACGGUCCAUACACCUACGGGUGGCAGCAGUAGGGAAUAUUGCACAAUGGGCGAAAGCCUGAUGCAGCAACGCCGCGUGUGCGAUGAAGGCCUUCGGGUCGUAAAGCACUUUUCUGAGGGAUGAGCAAGGACAGUACCUCAGGAAUAAGUCUCGGCUAACUACGUGCCAGCAGCCGCGGUAAAACGUAGGAGGCAAGCGUUAUCCGGAUUCACUGGGCGUAAAGCGCGUGCAGGCGGUUCGGUAAGUUGGGCGUGAAAUCUCCUGGCUUAACUAGGAGAGGUCGUUCAAUACUACCGGACUUGAGAGUGGUAGAGGAAGAUGGAAUUCCCGGUGUAGUGGUGAAAUGCGUAGAUAUCGGGAGGAACACCAGUGGCGAAAGCGAUCUUCUGGACCAUUUCUGACGCUCAGACGCGAAAGCUAGGGUAGUAAACGGGAUUAGAGACCCCGGUAAUCCUAGCCGUAAACGAUGUAAACUUGGCGUCGGUGGCUUAAACUCCAUCGGUGCCGCAGCUAACGCGAUAAGUUUACCGCC
Molecule: ribosomal RNA, 806 nt
Filed under: uncultured bacterium
Lineage: Bacteria
Description: bacterial SSU rRNA
Rfam family: Bacterial small subunit ribosomal RNA
Source: RNAcentral